GGUCUUUGUACACGGGCGACGCGUAUUGCGGGCGGCGGUUCUGUCAUCCGCGAAAGGGUUGCAUUUAUUCUCGUAUUUUGGUAUAUUUUCCGUGUGCAAUGGCUGACACAGUUGUUGAUAACAGUAAUGGGGGUGGCUAUUUCAUGCGAGGAGGAUUCCGCGGUCGCGGAGGUAGAGGACGUGGGGCUGUUCGCGGCGGCGAGUUCCGGGGAGGUCGUGGAGGCGGCGGAGACCAUAGAGGCGGCCGUGGAGGUGGUGGAGAUUUCCGUGGCGGCCGAGGAGGCGGCGAAUACAGAGGCCGUGGCGGAUUCCGUGGAGGAAGGGGAGGAAUGGGCAUGCGGAAUCCAGAGGAACGCCUCAUGGAGAAACUUCAGGCAGUUGCUGGGCCUACAUAUGAUCUGCCAGUAGCUGAUCAAAAGGAGAAAAAGAAGUUUACAAACAAGUGCCGUUUGUUUGUGGGGAACCUGACUGAUGAAACAACCAUGGAGGAAUUCCAAGAGAUGUUCAAAGUGUUUGGUGAAAUCGCCGAACCGUACCUGAAUCUGGAGAAGGCAUUUGGCUUUAUAAAACUGGACUACAGGGAGAACGCCGAGAAGGCGCGCCAGGCGCUGAACGGCACGAUGCGUAAUGGCCGCCUGCUGAAGGUGCGCUUCUCCUCGAUGGGCUCCAGUCUCAAGGUGAAGCGGCUCUCGCCUUGGGUCAGCAACGAGCUGCUCGAGCUGGCCUUCUCCGUCUUCGGUGAGCUGGAGCGUGCCGUCGUUAUCGUGGAUGAGCGCGGAAAGUCGACUGGCGAGGGCAUUGUAGAGUUCGCCAAGAAGCCCUGUGCGCUGGCUUGUCUGAAGAAGUGCACAGAAAGCAGCUUCUUCAUCACUGAGGGCCUAUGUCCGGUUGAAGUUGAAACCCUGCAAGAAGAUGACGAGGAGGAGGGACUGUGCGAGAAAGUCCUACCAAAGAAACACCAGGAGUACAGACGUGAACGCUCGACGGGACCGCGCUUCUCCGUGCCGGGCAGCUUCGAGAGUGAGUACGGAAGCCGUUGGAAGCAGCUCUACGACAUGGAGAAGCAGCGGCGCUCCCAGCUGGAGAAGGAGAUCAAGAUGGAGAUGGACAAGCUGCGCGACCAGAUGGAGUUCGCGCGCCGUGAGCACGAGACGGAGAUGUUGCGCGAGCAGCUGCGUCGCCGCGAGAUGGAGCAGGAGCGCUCCAAGGGUGACUGGGACGUGCGUCAGCAGCAGCGCGAGGAGGAGCGCCGCCGUCUGGAGGAGGACAUGCAGCGCCGCCAGGAUGCCAUGCAGACGCGCAUGCGCCAGUCGGAGGACGAUAUGAAGCGACGCCAGCAGGAGAACCAGCUGUUCAUGCAGGCGAGCGAGCUGAGCAGCCUGCUCGACCAGCAGGAGCAGGUCAUGUGGGGCGACCAGGCGGUGGGCGCCGGGCCGCCGGGCGAGCAGGACGCCGGCUUUGGCGGCCGGCCCGGCUGGGGCGUGCCUCCGCCCGGCAGCUUCGACGGACACGGUGGCGGCAUGGGACGCGGCGGUCGGGGCGGCGCCCAGCUGGUUGGCGUCGGCUGACCGAGGGCAAGGAGCGUCGCUUCCCACCUGACCCGAGACCUGCUGACCCGGCCUGAGCCGUAUCGGACCGGAUCGGACCGGAUCCGGAAGCAGCAUCUGUGACGGGACCGGACAAGGCCCGCUGGACCAGCGCGAAGCGCUGCGAGGUCGCCCUGUCGGCCAGAGGUCGGCGCGGACUCCGGGCCUCGGCGGGAUCGGGACGCCGUCCAUCGCAGCUCAGUCCGCACCCCGGCCGACACCCGGCCCCCGGCUCCCGGCCCCCGGCUCCUGGUCCGCGACGGCGACACAGAGGUGGCGCCGCCAGGCGGACGUCGGCGGCGGGCGAGAGAGAGUCGGUCGACGUGUACUGUAUGCACAUUCGC
This 1930-nucleotide unclassified non-coding RNA is filed under the name Pollicipes pollicipes. RNAcentral describes it as "protein no-on-transient A-like, transcript variant X3". The record is from RNAcentral. Lineage: Eukaryota; Metazoa; Arthropoda; Thecostraca; Pollicipedomorpha; Pollicipedidae.